Molecule: ribosomal RNA, 488 nt
Filed under: Flavobacterium sp. CL1.139
Lineage: Bacteria; Pseudomonadati; Bacteroidota; Flavobacteriia; Flavobacteriales; Flavobacteriaceae
Description: bacterial SSU rRNA
Rfam family: Bacterial small subunit ribosomal RNA
Source: RNAcentral
UUGAUCCCUGGCUCAGGAUGAACGCUAGCGGCAGGCUUAACACAUGCAAGUCGAGGGGUAUAGUUCUUCGGAAUUAGAGACCGGCGCACGGGUGCGUAACGCGUAUGCAAUCUACCUUUUGCAGAGGGAUAGCCCAGAGAAAUUUGGAUUAAUACCUCAUAGUAUAGCAGUUUCGCAUGAAACCACUAUUAAAGUCACAACGGCAAAAGAUGAGCAUGCGUCCCAUUAGCUAGUUGGUAAGGUAACGGCUUACCAAGGCUACGAUGGGUAGGGGUCCUGAGAGGGAGAUCCCCCACACUGGUACUGAGACACGGACCAGACUCCUACGGGAGGCAGCAGUGAGGAAUAUUGGACAAUGGGCGCAAGCCUGAUCCAGCCAUGCCGCGUGCAGGAUGACGGUCCUAUGGAUUGUAAACUGCUUUUGUACAGGAAGAAACACUCCCUCGUGAGGGAGCUUGACGGUACUGUAAGAAUAAGGAUUCGGCUAA